Molecule: ribosomal RNA, 421 nt
Filed under: uncultured bacterium
Lineage: Bacteria
Description: bacterial SSU rRNA
Rfam family: Bacterial small subunit ribosomal RNA
Source: RNAcentral
AAUAUUGGACAAUGGGCGCAAGCCUGAUCCAGCCAUGCCGCGUGUGUGAAGAAGGCCUUCGGGUUGUAAAGCACUUUUGUUGGGGAAGAAAAGAUCUGGGUUAAUAACCCGGGUUCAUGACGGUACCCAAAGAAUAAGCACCGGCUAACUACGUGCCAGCAGCCGCGGUAAUACGUAGGGAGCAAGCGUUGUUCGGAUUUACUGGGCGUAAAGGGCGCGUAGGCGGCGUGUCAAGUCAAUUGUGAAAUCUCCGGGCUUAACUCGGAACGGCCAAUUGAUACUGUCAUGCUAGAGUGCAGAAAGGGCAAUCGGAAUUCUUGGUGUAGCGGUGAAAUGCGUAGAUAUCAAGAGGAACACCUGAGGCGAAGGCGGGUUGCUAGGCUGACACUGACGCUGAGGCGCGAAAGCCAGGGGAGCAAAC